This 253-nucleotide ribosomal RNA is filed under the name uncultured bacterium. RNAcentral describes it as "partial 16S ribosomal RNA". It matches the Rfam family "Bacterial small subunit ribosomal RNA", at positions 524 to 776 of the family's 1533-position model. The record is from RNAcentral.
UACGAAGGGGGCUAGCGUUGCUCGGAAUCACUGGGCGUAAAGGGUGCGUAGGCGGGUUUUUAAGUCAGGGGUGAAAUCCUGGAGCUCAACUCCAGAACUGCCUUUGAUACUGAAGAUCUCGAGUCCGGGAGAGGUGAGUGGAACUGCGAGUGUAGAGGUGAAAUUCGUAGAUAUUAGGAAGAACACCAGUGGCGAAGGCGACUCUUUGGCCUGUAACUGACGCUGAGGCGCGAAAGCGUGGGGAGCAAACAGG